UUGGUUCUUGUCACAGAUUAAAAAGGGAAUCAGGUGUAAGUCCUGGACAGUCCCGCUGCUGUAAUCGGCAUUAUUGCCAACAGACCAUAUGAUGUCACUGGGAGCAUUCCUGGGAAGACGUCUGUUGGAGCCGAAAGUCAGAAUACCUGCCAUUGCCAU
Molecule: non-coding RNA, 159 nt
Filed under: uncultured Prevotella sp.
Lineage: Bacteria; Pseudomonadati; Bacteroidota; Bacteroidia; Bacteroidales; Prevotellaceae
Source: RNAcentral